This 500-nucleotide ribosomal RNA is filed under the name uncultured bacterium. RNAcentral describes it as "partial 16S ribosomal RNA". It matches the Rfam family "Bacterial small subunit ribosomal RNA", at positions 30 to 523 of the family's 1533-position model. The record is from RNAcentral.
AUUGAACGCUGGCGGCAUGCCUUACACAUGCAAGUCGAACGGCAGCACGGGAGCAAUCCUGGUGGCGAGUGGCGAACGGGUGAGUAAAGUAUCGGAACGUGCCCAGUCGUGGGGGAUAACGUAGCGAAAGUUACGCUAAUACCGCAUACGAUCUAUGGAUGAAAGCGGGGGAUCGCAAGACCUCGCGCGAUUGGAGCGGCCGAUAUCAGAUUAGGUAGUUGGUGGGGUAAAGGCUCACCAAGCCGACGAGCUGUAGCUGGUCUGAGAGGACGACCAGCCACACUGGGAGUGAGACACGGCCCAGACUCCUACGGGAGGCAGCAGUGGGGAAUUUUGGACAAUGGGCGAAAGCCUGAUCCAGCCAUGCCGCGUGCAGGAUGAAGGCCUUCGGGUUGUAAACUGCUUUUGUACGGAACGAAAAGGUUUGGCCUAAUAAGCUGAGCUCAUGACGGUAUCGUAAGAAUAAGCACCGGCCAACUACGUGCCAGCAGCCGCCGUAA